Molecule: long non-coding RNA, 1216 nt
Organism: Ctenopharyngodon idella (grass carp)
Lineage: Eukaryota; Metazoa; Chordata; Actinopteri; Cypriniformes; Xenocyprididae
Exons: 3
Source: RefSeq, a predicted model, not a curated record
GAUCCAAAAUGGGUCCUCCGAGUCAGUGGAGAGUAUGAGAAAUAGGGUGUUUUCACCUGUCUCAAACUCUGCCUCCACCAACUCAAUCUGCGAUCCUCAUGACCUGAGAUGCCGGAUCAUCUCAUCCCUAAGAAAGAGCCAAGCAGGACAGGAGCUUACACAUGCUGAAUCUUUAGACACAUGCUUCAGACAUGGGCUUACGCAGGAGCGUUCCCAUAGCAUCAACGUCAUGACACAAUGUCAAAGUUCCACUUUGAAGGGGAACUGAGAAAAGUAAAAAAAAAAAAAAAAAGAAAACAACAUUAUUAUUAAGCAAUAAUAAUGAAAAUAAAUAGAUCACUAACACUAUUUGUUCUAAAGUAAUGCUGUAGAUAAAGUAAUUUAGAGAUGAUAAAUAAAAUGUACUAGAAUUUUUUUUCUUUUUUUCUUGCAGUUGUAUUAGGCAUGAAAUAAAUGUUUGAAGACACAAACUGAUUUGGUUUAAAAAAAAAAAAAAAAUAGUCUGUUAAUAUACAAUUGUCUGUAUAUUAAACUGUGUUAAACAUCAAAUAGAAAUGUGACAUGAGAAAGGGAGACUUUCACAUUGGUGUCACACCAUGCAAAAUUAUUGUCAUAUCCACACUACAAUUUUAGACAAUGCCACGUUUCUUACCCUGAGCUUUAAGUAUGCAAAAGUAUGUUCCACCACAGAGACCCCAGUUACCACCACAUUUAUUUUUGACACACACUAGAUAUUUUGCAUGUUGGGCUUGUGGCUCCAAUGUCUGAUAGUUUUGCAAAAGUGUUCAUUGUUGCAAGACAUUGCAUGCUGGAUGACUAAUUCAUAUUUGCCUAAGCAAAUCAGUUAUUUGUAUUUAUGAUACAUACCCACCAUUCUAACACUUUACCUGUCAAACUGAGAAAUGAUUCUGAAAUUAAAAUCUAUGGGUCACUGAUAGUCACAACACUGACCAAGAACUUAAUGGAUAUAGAUCUUCUGUCAAUAUUCAAGGCUAGACAAUGAACUGCCAAACUUCUACAACUCAUUUCAUCUUCACCUGCUUCAUUAUGCAAUCUACACUCAUGAGAUCUGCAGAUGCAUUAAACUGCUCACAGCCAACCGCAGAGUCUCUACUACAAGCGCUCAGAGAGAGUGUCUUCAACAAAACCGAAGUGCGGCCAGUUAUUAAUCCAAGAACACCUACAAAGAUCAGUUUGGGUUUCAUUUUGUUUGCCA